Molecule: ribosomal RNA, 430 nt
Filed under: Pseudomonadota bacterium
Lineage: Bacteria; Pseudomonadati; Pseudomonadota
Description: Proteobacteria bacterium partial 16S ribosomal RNA
Rfam family: Bacterial small subunit ribosomal RNA
Source: RNAcentral
UGGGGAAUAUUGGACAAUGGGGGGAACCCUGAUCCAGCCAUGCCGCGUGUGUGAAGAAGGCCUUAUGGUUGUAAAGCACUUGAAGCGAGGAGGAGGGUACUGGUAUUAAUACUACCAGGUACUGGACGUUACUCGCAGAAUAAGCACCGGCUAACUCUGUGCCAGCAGCCGCGGUAAUACAGAGGGUGCGAGCGUUAAUCGGAUUUACUGGGCGUAAAGCGUGCGUAGGCGGCUAAUUGAGUCGGAUGUGAAAUCCCCGAGCUUAACUUGGGAAUUGCAUUCGAUACUGGUUAGCUAGAGUGUGGGAUAGGAUGGUAGAAUUCCAGGUGUAUCGGUGAAAUGCGUAGAGAUCUGGAGGAAUACCGAUGGCGAAGGCAGCCAUCUGGCCUAACACUGACGCUGAGGUACGAAAGCAUGGGGAGCAAACAGG